AUACAACAAAGUCCCCUGAUCA
Molecule: small nuclear RNA, 22 nt
Filed under: Arabidopsis thaliana (thale cress)
Lineage: Eukaryota; Viridiplantae; Streptophyta; Magnoliopsida; Brassicales; Brassicaceae
Description: snRNA_16099
Source: RNAcentral